CCUGGAUUAACCUGCUCUGACCACCAGGGACAUACGCUGCGACGACAAAAUGACGUCGCCUUCGGCUCUGUCCUAUGGACACCAAAUGUUAAAGGACCAAUGGACAAUGAUCUUUGGUACAGGACAUGCAAAGCAGGAAGAUACAUGGCUUUGGCCCCAUGAAGACAGCUGAUCACAGUUAGUGAGAUGACAGUGAAUGGACAAGUAUGGGCAGAUGUGAGAGAAUUCCCGCUAAGAUCUUCAUCAUGUGGAGGGUCAGAGUUCACCACUGUUGGACCAGAUAGACCUGCAGAGUUGCUUGGAAAUGCUUGGACAAUUCAUGCUUACGCUCUCAUCCAGCCUUCCCCUUGAGACAUUGCAGUUCGACAUUGUUUAGAGCCUGUGUCAUAAGAUGGAGUGCCCAAAGUGCCCAACAUCAUCCUGCCUCAUUCUCAGGACAAGACAUUUGAAGCCAUCUGCAGAUAUGUGCGCCUGAAAUUGAGCACUGAUGUAUGAUCUUCUGCUUAAGCAACAUGAAGCCUACUGCUCUUACCCAUAGGGGUUAUAAUGAUGAACUAUCACUCAAUGUGAUGUUAUAAUGUAGUCCGAUAUGAUGGCUAUUUCCUGAAGUUGUCCUUUGUUCUUUUUUUCUCUUUAGUUUAAGGCACUAUUCUUAAAGUCCAGCCUUAUCCAAUAAGGAUGAAUCAGUCCUUGUGACUUUGAUGUAAUGUGAAGAAUUGACAUUUAUUUAAUAUAGUCUCCCUGAUUCGCUUAAUUACUUGUUUCUCAGAUGAUAUGAUUAAAUGACUCAGGUUACUAUUGAUAGUCAUUCGUUUUGUCUUUGGAUGUAAUGUUAUGAAUUGAAAUUUAUUGAAUAUAAUCUAUCUUACUUGCUUAUUUUCUGUGUAUUUUUGUACAUCGUAAUAUAUAUGAAAUCAGAGUUCUAUUGCGCUAAUAAAUAUAAUUUUUAAUAAAUAUUUGACAAAAAAAAAAUUCUCAACUGUGCUGGGACUUGG
Seriola dumerili (greater amberjack) is the source of this 995-nucleotide long non-coding RNA. RefSeq lists it as uncharacterized. The record is from RefSeq and is a predicted model, not a curated record. Lineage: Eukaryota; Metazoa; Chordata; Actinopteri; Carangiformes; Carangidae. The transcript has 6 exons.